UACGUAGGGGGCUAGCGUUGUCCGGAAUCAUUGGGCGUAAAGAGCGCGUAGGCGGCUGGAAUAGUCCGGUGUGAAAUCCACAGGCUUAACCUGUGAAUGCCGCUGGAAACUGUCUGGCUAGAGUCCGGAAGGGGCGAGUGGAAUUCCUGGUGUAGCGGUGAAAUGCGCAGAUAUCAGGAGGAACACCAAUGGCGAAGGCAGCUCGCUGGGACGGUACUGACGCUGAGACGCGAAAGCGUGGGGAGCGAACAGG
This 253-nucleotide ribosomal RNA is filed under the name uncultured bacterium. RNAcentral's name for it is "partial 16S ribosomal RNA". It matches the Rfam family "Bacterial small subunit ribosomal RNA", at positions 524 to 776 of the family's 1533-position model. The record is from RNAcentral.